CUGAACUUGAUUGAAUAAUAAAAUAAAUAACACGGAAGAAAUUUAUUUCAUCUUCUAGAUAGCAGCAGCCUACAGGCCUAUCUUUGUUUUCAUAUUUUUACAAGUGAUUCUUCUUCCCUUGCUCGAAUCCCCCCAUCUUCUUCACUUGAAUCCUCCCCUUCUCCGAUCAGGCGUGAAGGAAGAAAGUUCGAAUUCUAAGAAAGCGGAAGGAUCCCAAGACCGAGUGAUUAUGGUGCUAGUAAAUCCUCGAUUUAGAUGUAUGGACGGCUUGGAAUGUGCACACUUGGAUUACGCCCGCCUCACGCUUCCGUUAUUAAGUCUAUUAAAAUAGGUUAAGUUUUGGUCAUAUGUAUCUAGGUCUAUGUAGUAUGUCGAUAACUCGUUGUUGGGUAAAAACUUAGUAGUCGAAGUCAUGUCGUGUCCAAUAUAGACUUUGUUGUUUUGGGUUUUUGUCAAGGAUGUUAAGCGUUGAAGUUUGGUAUGUAUAACAGGGUGUUAAUGGUUUUAAACGAAUAGGUCAUGCCGAAUUUUCCUAAAAUUUACCUAUUUAUUUUAUAU
Molecule: long non-coding RNA, 558 nt
Filed under: Helianthus annuus (common sunflower)
Lineage: Eukaryota; Viridiplantae; Streptophyta; Magnoliopsida; Asterales; Asteraceae
Description: sRNA HanXRQr2_Chr14g0625561
Source: RNAcentral